Molecule: ribosomal RNA, 402 nt
Filed under: uncultured bacterium
Lineage: Bacteria
Description: bacterial SSU rRNA
Rfam family: Bacterial small subunit ribosomal RNA
Source: RNAcentral
AGCGAACGUUAGCGGCACGCCUAACACAUGCAAGUCGCACGAGAAAGGGAGCAAUCCUGAGUAGAGUGGCGCACGGGUGCGUAACACGUAGAUAACCUGCCCUUUGGAGGGGGAUAACGUUCCGAAAGGAGCGCUAAUACCGCAUACAGCAAGAGCCGGUUUGCCGGUUUUUGGCAAAGGUAGGGACCCGCAAGGGCCUACCGCCAGAGGAGGGGUCUGCGGCCCAUCAGCUAGUUGGUGAGGUAAUGGCUCACCAAGGCAGAGACGGGUAGCUGGUCUGAGAGGAUGAUCAGCCACACUGGUACUGGAACACGGACCAGACUCCUACGGGAGGCAGCAGUGGGGAAUCUUGGUCAAUGGGCGCAAGCCUGAACCAGCGAUGCCGCGUGAGUGAUGAAGGCC